CCUACGUGAGGCAGCAGUGAGGGAUAUUGGUCAAUGGGCGCGAGCCUGAACCAGCCAAGUAGCGUGAAGGAUGACUGCCCUACGGGUUGUAAACUUCUUUUAUAAAGGAAUAAAGUGAGGCACGUGUGCCUUUUUGUAUGUACUUUAUGAAUAAGGAUCGGCUAACUCCGUGCCAGCAGCCGCGGUAAUACGGAGGAUCCGAGCGUUAUCCGGAUUUAUUGGGUUUAAAGGGAGCGUAGAUGGGUUGUUAAGUCAGUUGUGAAAGUUUGCGGCUCAACCGUAAAAUUGCAAUUGAUACUGGCAGUCUUGAGUACAGUUGAGGUAGGCGGAAUUCGUGGUGUAGCGGUGAAAUGCUUAGAUAUCACGAAGAACUCCGAUUGCGAAGGCAGCUUACUAAACUGCCACUGACAUUGAUGCUCGAAAGUGUGGGUAUCAAACAGGAUUAGAUACCCCAGUAGUC
Molecule: ribosomal RNA, 460 nt
Filed under: uncultured bacterium
Lineage: Bacteria
Description: partial 16S ribosomal RNA
Rfam family: Bacterial small subunit ribosomal RNA
Source: RNAcentral